This 493-nucleotide ribosomal RNA is filed under the name uncultured bacterium. Its description in RNAcentral is "partial 16S ribosomal RNA". It matches the Rfam family "Bacterial small subunit ribosomal RNA", at positions 30 to 523 of the family's 1533-position model. The record is from RNAcentral.
AUUGAACGCUGGCGGCAUGCCUUACACAUGCAAGUCGAACGGUAACAGGUUAAGCUGACGAGUGGCGAACGGGUGAGUAAUGUAUCGGAACGUGCCCAGUCGUGGGGGAUAACUGCUCGAAAGAGCAGCUAAUACCGCAUACGACCUGAGGGUGAAAGAGGGGGAUCGCAAGACCUCGCGCGAUUGGAGCGGCCGAUAUCAGAUUAGGUAGUUGGUGAGGUAAAGGCUCACCAAGCCGACGAUCUGUAGCUGGUCUGAGAGGACGACCAGCCACACUGGGACUGAGACACGGCCCAGACUCCUACGGGAGGCAGCAGUGGGGAAUUUUGGACAAUGGGCGCAAGCCUGAUCCAGCCACGCCGCGUGCGGGAAGAAGGCCUUCGGGUUGUAAACCGCUUUUGUCAGGGAAGAGAAGGUUCUGGCUAAUACCUGGGACUCAUGACGGUACCUGAAGAAUAAGCACCGGCUAACUACGUGCCAGCCGCCGCCGUAA